AGUGGGGAAUAUUGCACAAUGGGCGCAAGCCUGAUGCAGCCAUGCCGCGUGUAUGAAGAAGGCCUUCGGGUUGUAAAGUACUUUCAGCAGUGAGGAAGGUUCAUACGUUAAUAGCGUAUGGAUUUGACGUUAGCUGCAGAAGAAGCACCGGCUAACUCCGUGCCAGCAGCCGCGGUAAUACGGAGGGUGCGAGCGUUAAUCGGAAUUACUGGGCGUAAAGCGCAUGCAGGUGGUUUGUUAAGUCAGAUGUGAAAGCCCGGGGCUCAACCUCGGAAUAGCAUUUGAAACUGGCAGACUAGAGUACUGUAGAGGGGGGUAGAAUUUCAGGUGUAGCGGUGAAAUGCGUAGAGAUCUGAAGGAAUACCGGUGGCGAAGGCGGCCCCCUGGACAGAUACUGACACUCAGAUGCGAAAGCGUGGGGAGCAAA
RNAcentral lists this ribosomal RNA (427 nucleotides) under Vibrio xuii. Its description in RNAcentral is "bacterial SSU rRNA". It matches the Rfam family "Bacterial small subunit ribosomal RNA", at positions 353 to 772 of the family's 1533-position model. Lineage: Bacteria; Pseudomonadati; Pseudomonadota; Gammaproteobacteria; Vibrionales; Vibrionaceae. The record is from RNAcentral.